AGGGCCUCCAGACUCCGCCUGGGAUAACCUGUCCACACAUCUGCCUCCAGGGUGAGGCUGCUUCUGAGGGGGGAGAUGCUUGCCUGUCCCUCACUCAGAUGCUGCUAAGGCAGACCCAUCCUGCCUCUUGUUUCUUCCCGGGAGGUUGACACACCAGCUUCCACGGGCCAGCCCGGCGAUGUCGCAGCAGAAGCAGCAAUGUCAGGAGCCUCUGCGUGCUCUCAGAUGUCCCCGUCCCCGAGGCCCAACCCCCUCCCGGGGUUCCUGCCCUGCGCCUUGGCCUCCCUGCUCAGGGGGCUGUGGUUCUGGUCCCCAGAGGCCCCGGGACCCGAGCCCGGCUGGCUCUCAGAGGACUUGCCGCAGACAGCCCCGCUGCCUCAGCGGUGGCACCGUCCACCACAUCAAAGAGGAGGAGUGUUAAGGUGACCAGCGCAGAGGAGGGGACAGGAGGACAGCUGCUCUCGCCCUGCCCCGCCCGGGUGGUCUGGCACCCCUUCCCCUGAAGCCCAGGCCCCUCCCCCUCAUCCGGGCUGGGAAGCACCUCCUGGCCCCCAGCAUUCAUGGGCUGAGAACCCGGCUAAGCUGCCCUUCUGCUUCUGCCUCCCACCCACCCCUUCAGCUCAGCCAAAACACUACCUUUCAGCCUUGCUGCUCCGAGCAGACAUGCAGAGAUCUCUGCCUGUGGAUGCUGCCCUUCCUUCCUUCCUCCUAAGACAGCUGGUGGUGUUUAAAAGAGACAGAUGGUGGGAGGCUUAUGUCUGUCUGAGUUCUCAGCAUCCUCACAGCCCCCGAUCUGCAUCACCCCGUGAUCCUAGCACCGACGGCUUCAGCGUAAUAAACAGCUUCUGAAAACCU
Molecule: long non-coding RNA, 855 nt
Organism: Vicugna pacos (alpaca)
Lineage: Eukaryota; Metazoa; Chordata; Mammalia; Artiodactyla; Camelidae
Source: RefSeq, a predicted model, not a curated record